This is a long non-coding RNA of Oryzias melastigma (Indian medaka), 344 nucleotides long. RefSeq lists it as uncharacterized. The record is from RefSeq and is a predicted model, not a curated record. NCBI's taxonomy places the organism in Eukaryota, Metazoa, Chordata, Actinopteri, Beloniformes, Adrianichthyidae. The transcript is spliced from 4 exons.
UAAAGGUAUAAAAGAGAAGGUCAGCGUUCAGAGCAGCAUCACAACAACUCCAGAUCUUCUUCUGAGACAGUAAAGACUUGACUGAGUGAAAUCAUGCUGAAGUUAGCGCUUGUGCUUGGAUGUCUCCUGAGCCUCACUCUGGCUCAACCCAUGGAGCAUCAGAGAGUGGCUCGUUCCAGCUCAGACUCCAACUCUGGAUCUAACUCGAAUGAAGCAACCACCACCACUGCUACAACAACUACAGCUGCAGGAACUACACUAUCAGUGAACCAGCUGAUUGCUCAACUGGUGGCACUACUAGGAUAAAAUUAAGUCUGCCAUGGAGCCAGAAUUCAACUAGUGCU